AGAGUUUGAUCCUGGCUCAGAGCGAACGUUAGCGGCAGGCUUAACACAUGCAAGUCGAGCGAGAAAGGGGCUUCGGCCCUGAGUACAGCGGCGGACGGGUGCGUAACACGUGGAUAAUCUGCCCUCUAGUGGGGAACAACAGUCCGAAAGGAUUGCUAAUGCCGCAUGUGCCCGCUGGGUCUCCGGACCGGGUGGGAAAA
This 200-nucleotide ribosomal RNA is filed under the name uncultured bacterium. RNAcentral's name for it is "partial 16S ribosomal RNA". It matches the Rfam family "Bacterial small subunit ribosomal RNA", at positions 8 to 205 of the family's 1533-position model. The record is from RNAcentral.